AGUGAACGCUGGCGGCGUGCCUAAUACAUGCAAGUCGAACGGAGUGGCGCACGGGGGAGUAAUGUAUCGCUAAUCUGCUCUCCACUAGAGGACAACAGUUGGAAACGGCUGCUAAUACUCCAUAGUGUAGGAUGAGGCUAUAUUGUAUCAGCUAGUUGGUGAGGUAAUGGCUCACCAAGGCUAUGACGCAUAACUGGUCUGAGAGGAUGAUCAGUCGAACUGGAACAGAGACACGGUCCAGGUUCCUACGGGAGGCAACAGUAGGGAAUAUUGCUCACUGGGGGAGACCCUUAAGCACCAUCACCGCGUGGAGGAUGACCCUUUUCGGAGCGUCAACUCCUUUUGUUAGGGAAGCGGUACCGAACGAAUAAGCACCGGCUAACUCCGUGCCAGCAGCCGCGGUAAUAC
This 408-nucleotide ribosomal RNA is filed under the name uncultured bacterium. Its description in RNAcentral is "partial 16S ribosomal RNA". It matches the Rfam family "Bacterial small subunit ribosomal RNA", at positions 29 to 526 of the family's 1533-position model. The record is from RNAcentral.